CUGCCGCCGCUCCCGGCGGAUGUCCGGCCGCGGCCAUGGCGCUGCUGGAGGCGGGAGCCCGCGGGCGGCUCCUGCGCUGGCCCCGAGUCCUCCUCUUCGGAGACUCCAUCACUGAGUACUCCUUCCAGGAAAACGGCUGGGGGGCAUACCUUGCUGAGAGACUGGUCAGAAAAUGUGAUGUUGUGAAUCGUGGGAUCUCGGGGUACAACACCAGAUGGGCUAAAUUGAUUCUUCCAAGACUGAUCACUGAAAGUACUAGUGCUGACAGUAUUGUUGCAGUUACUAUUUUCUUUGGAGCUAAUGACAGUGCUUUGAAAGAGCUGAACCCUAAGCAACACGUUCCUUUGGAGGAAUAUGCCGCCAACCUGAAGAGCAUGGUGCAGUACCUGAAGUCAGUAGACAUUUCUGCAGACAGGAUUAUUUUGAUAACACCACCACCUCUUCAGGAAUCAGCUUGGGAAAAGGCAUGUCUUGCCAAAGGUGACAAACUGAACCGCUGCAAUGCCACCACCGGCCAGUACGCCCAGGCCUGUGUCCAGGUCGCCAGGGAAUGUGGCACGGAUGUGCUCGACCUCUGGACCCUGAUGCAGAAGAAUCAGGAUUUCUCUUCCUAUUUGUCUGAUGGUCUUCAUUUAUCAACAAAAGGCAACAGCUUUCUUGCAGCUCAGCUGUGGUCACGCCUGGAAAACAAACUGUCAGCUCUUCCUUCACUGCUUCCUUACUGGCGUGACGUGGACCACACGAACCCUGAGGCCAGUCUUCUGUGAGAUCCCUGCAGGGAGGAGCUGGGCAGCCAUGCCAGACAGAGCCAGCCCAUUAUCCAGCAGCUGCUGCAAACUGUGUCCUCAGGGAAUGGGGCACUGGGGAGUCCCCAGCAAUGCUCUUCUCUGUCCCCUGCUCUUGGUCUGUGGGAGAAUAAAGUUCUUCUCCAACCAGACACCUGCAACACACAAACCUUAGUGCGGAGUGGGAAGCUCCCAACAAAAGCCACGAAGACAAGACAGCCUCACCACUGAGGCAGAAGUUUCAUGCUAGAGGAGCAUUUCUCAUGCACCGUAUACAGUUUAACAGCCUCUGUGAUCUUUUUAUUUAUACAGAAGCUGGGCAUAUUAAGCUCCUUUAUUCUGAUUAUGCAUUUCAUUGAAUGCUGCGAGACACUGUAAUUAUAUUUGUUUCAUUACUCUCUGUUCUCAAGGCAUGUGCUUAGGCUUUUGUUUAUAUGUACCUUAAAUUGCUAAAUUAUCUACUCUA
Molecule: RNA transcript, 1251 nt
Organism: Corvus hawaiiensis (hawaiian crow)
Lineage: Eukaryota; Metazoa; Chordata; Aves; Passeriformes; Corvidae
Gene: IAH1
Gene name: isoamyl acetate hydrolyzing esterase 1 (putative)
Exons: 7
Source: RefSeq, a predicted model, not a curated record